This 497-nucleotide ribosomal RNA is filed under the name uncultured bacterium. RNAcentral's name for it is "partial 16S ribosomal RNA". It matches the Rfam family "Bacterial small subunit ribosomal RNA", at positions 28 to 507 of the family's 1533-position model. The record is from RNAcentral.
GAUGAACGCUGGCGGCGUGCCUAAUACAUGCAAGUCGAGCGAACAGACGAGGAGCUUGCUCCUCUGACGUUAGCGGCGGACGGGUGAGUAACACGUGGAUAACCUACCUAUAAGACUGGGAUAACUUCGGGAAACCGGAGCUAAUACCGGAUAAUAUAUUGAACCGCAUGGUUCAAUAGUGAAAGACGGUUUUGCUGUCACUUAUAGAUGGAUCCGGGCCGGAUUAGCUAGUUGGUAAGGUAACGGCUUACCAAGGCAACGAUGCGUAGCCGAUCUGAGAGGGUGAUCGGCCACACUGGAACUGAGACACGGUCCAGACUCCUACGGGAGGCAGCAGUAGGGAAUCUUCCGCAAUGGGCGAAAGCUUGACGGAGCAACGCCGCGUGAGUGAUGAAGGUCUUCGGAUCGUAAAACUCUGUUAUUAGGGAAGAACAAAUGUGUAAGUAACUAUGCACGUCUUGACGGUACCUAAUCAGAAAGCCACGGCUAACUACGUG